This 253-nucleotide ribosomal RNA is filed under the name uncultured bacterium. RNAcentral describes it as "partial 16S ribosomal RNA". It matches the Rfam family "Bacterial small subunit ribosomal RNA", at positions 524 to 776 of the family's 1533-position model. The record is from RNAcentral.
UACGAGAGGCCCAAACGUUAUUCGGAAUUACUGGGCUUAAAGAGUUCGUAGGCGGCGCGGAAAGUAGGGUGUGAAAGCCCUCGGCUCAACCGAGGAAUUGCGCUCUAAACUGUCGUGCUUGAGGAACCUAGAGGUGAGCAGAACUGAUGGUGGAGCGGUGAAAUGCGUAGAUAUCGAGAGGAACACCUGCGGCGAAGGCGGGUUGCUGGGCUGACACUGACGCUGAGGCGCGAAAGCUAGGGGAGCGAACGGG